CCUACGGGUGACAGCAGUGGGGAAUAUUGGGCAAUGGAGGAAACUCUGACCCAGCAACGCCGCGUGAAUGAUGAAGGUCUUCGGAUUGUAAAGUUCUUUUCUAAGGGAAGAAGAAAGUGACGGUACCUUAGGAAUAAGCCUCGGCUAACUACGUGCCAGCAGCCGCGGUAAUACGUAGGAGGCAAGCGUUAUCCGGAAUGACUGGGCGUAAAGGGUGCGUAGGUGGUUUGAUAAGUUGGUAGCGUAACUCCGAGGCUCAACCUCGGCACUACUACCAAAACUGUCGGACUUGAGUGCAGGAGGGGCAACUGGAAUUCCUAGUGUAGCGGUGGAAUGCGUAGAUAUUAGGAGGAACACCAGUGGCGAAGGCGAGUUGCUAGACUGUAACUGACACUGAGGCACGAAAGCGUGGGGAGCAAACAGGAUUAGAUACCCGUGUAGUC
RNAcentral lists this ribosomal RNA (443 nucleotides) under uncultured bacterium. RNAcentral describes it as "partial 16S ribosomal RNA". It matches the Rfam family "Bacterial small subunit ribosomal RNA", at positions 338 to 795 of the family's 1533-position model. The record is from RNAcentral.